AGAACGAACGCUGGCGGCAUGCCUAACACAUGCAAGUCGAACGAGACCUUCGGGUCUAGUGGCGCACGGGUGCGUAACGCGUGGGAAUCUGCCCUUAGGUACGGAAUAACAGUGAGAAAUUACUGCUAAUACCGUAUGAUGUCUUCGGACCAAAGAUUUAUCGCCUAGGGAUGAGCCCGCGUUGGAUUAGCUAGUUGGUGGGGUAAAGGCCUACCAAGGCGACGAUCCAUAGCUGGUCUGAGAGGAUGAUCAGCCACACUGGGACUGAGACACGGCCCAGACUCCUACGGGAGGCAGCAGUGGGGAAUAUUGGACAAUGGGCGAAAGCCUGAUCCAGCAAUGCCGCGUGAGUGAAGAAGGCCUUCGGGUUGUAAAGCUCUUUUACCCGGGAAGAUAAUGACUGUACCGGGAGAAUAAGCCCCGGCUAACUCCGCGCCAGCACGCCGC
This 447-nucleotide ribosomal RNA is filed under the name uncultured bacterium. Its description in RNAcentral is "SSU rRNA". It matches the Rfam family "Bacterial small subunit ribosomal RNA", at positions 26 to 518 of the family's 1533-position model. The record is from RNAcentral.